GCCCGGAUGCCAUGCAGUUGUACAUGAGUAAACCCCGCCAGAGCAGGAAUGCAGCAACGGUAGCUCAUCGUCCAACGUGCCGUGGUCUAUCCGGGCUUU
RNAcentral lists this signal recognition particle RNA (99 nucleotides) under Treponema sp. RNAcentral's name for it is "signal recognition particle sRNA small type". It matches the Rfam family "Bacterial small signal recognition particle RNA". From Rfam's summary of the family: The signal recognition particle (SRP) is a universally conserved ribonucleoprotein involved in the co-translational targeting of proteins to membranes. Archaeal SRP consists of a 7S RNA and homologues of the eukaryotic SRP19 and SRP54 proteins. Lineage: Bacteria; Pseudomonadati; Spirochaetota; Spirochaetia; Treponematales; Treponemataceae. The record is from RNAcentral.